UAUAUUUAAGUAGUUGAGUUUGUAUUUUUGGAAAAACUACAGUUUUCGUAAAACAACGAUUUUAGUCAAAUGUCGUAAUAAAGGUUAAAAACACCUCUGAAACCACAAAUAAAAUUCAACAGUCUAAAAAGUCCAAAAAAUACAUAACUCUCAGAGAAAUUCUACUUAAAAUAAUUAAAACCAUUAUUAAAUCAGUUUACAUCUCGUGGUUACUGUGAGACUCCAUCGCACCGAUCCGCCUAAGUCUGUGGAUUACCUGAACAGAAGAGACAAAUAUAUGUGAGUUUUUGUAAACUCAGUGUGUAACCCAACAGAAAUAGACAUACAAUACAUACAGAAUUCACAUAUACAGUCAGAUUCAGAUUCGGACCUAAGUCUUUUACAGAUAUAAAUAACAGAAUCAGAUAAACAAAACAGAAACAGUGAGUCCUACCCCCAUCCUCUACACACCAUUUUCGACCAUCCCAUCACACAUUGUGGGGAUAAAAACACCCACUCAUCCCUACACACCAUAUAGUGUCGAUAAGACACAUCACAGAUAAUAUGCAGUCAAGCUGCCAAAAUAUAGGCGAAAUGUCACCAUACAGAUCACUUCCUCCACACAUACAAAUCCCACCCCAAAUACAGAUAUAGAAAUAACAGAUUUAACAUACCUAACAUGCUUGCUUAAACAGUACAGUCAGACAUGCAUUUAGUAUCUUACUCAUAUCAGUCUAUCAGAAUACCAUAGCACACAAAAUAGGGUUUGGCUAGCCCUUAUCGACCCUACAGUAGACCUGCAGUCAAUUAGAACGACUCGUGCGAUCCUAGAAAAAAUUUCAAAAAUAAGUGCCGCUAAAAAAUGCCGCUAAAUUUUGCGACAUUUAUGUAGAAAAAUGCCGCUAUAGAAUAUGACCUUUAGCGGUGCUUUUCCCACAAACGCCAUUAAAGAAGAUGACAUUUAGCGUUGAUUUCCCACAAAUGACGCUAUAGAACAUGACCUUUAGCAGCAUGUUUUGUAAAAAGCACUGCUAAAGAACAUGACCUUUAGGGGAGCAGCACUUUCUCCACAGACGCCACUAAAGAACAUGACAUUUAGGGACGCUUUUACCAAAACCGCCGCUAAAGGUCAUGUUCUUUAGCGGCAUUUUUAGUAAAAGCACCGCUAAAAAUCAUGUUUUUUUACUGCAUUUGUUGAAAAUUGCAACUAAUUAGCAAAUUUUUAACAACCCAUUUUCAUUCAUAUAGAACCCCUAUAACGUCAAAUCCAACCAAAAACUGCAAAUCUAAAUAAUACUUCAAAUCUAAAAGAAAUAUGCAUAUGAUCUAAAUUAAUAAAUGAAAUGACAAUAUAUUAUAUUCAAAAGUUAUAUUGUUAAAAUAUUCUUACUAAGAUAGAAUAUAUAUACCUAAUACAGCAAAAUAGAACAAACACACAUCAAACAAUCACCUUCAACCAUAGUAAUAGUAUAUAUAUACCUAAUACAGCAAAAGACCCAAAUACAAACAAAACAAAAUAAUGAUAGAAUGCUUACUUUAAGAUCGACAGUUAGCUCAAACAAGCGUCACUAUGCAUGAAUUCAGCCCAAAUUUUCUGAGACACCAGGAACAUGAGACACCUGAGACAAUUGAGUGGAUGUACUAGCAACAGACAAAUUUUCUAUUCCAGGGGCACAACUAACUUCCGUUUGAUUGUAAUAAUCAGCCCAUUGCUUGUAAUGUAGCUGAUAAUGGAAAGAAUUUGUACCUGCAUUACCAGCGACAUAAGCCCCACUUGAAUCUUAAGUGUAGUUUGAAUACCGCUGAGUAGUAUAAUUUGAAUAAUUGCUCCCAUUCUAUGUGGUAGUCUGAUGAGUGUAACUACUGCUUGGGCAACCUCCAGCUGUCUGAUAAUCACCAGGAUUGUAGUAAGUGCUUUAAUAACUUGUAGGCCCAGCAUAAGACCCUGUAUUCUGAAAUGAGAAAAUAGGCUGAUAUGGAGCACCUGUGUUUUGAUAUGCUCCUACUGGCUGAGUAAGAGGGGUUAGGUUGUUGCUGAUAACCACUAUAGUAACCUUGGUAACCUGCACUCCCAUGUGAAUAGGUACCAGCAGAAUUUGAGUAUGAAGUAUAGCCACCAUAGUCUAGUUGUGUAUUUGUCUCUCCUAAGCUCGAUGAAGUGGCAAGAAGUGUUGCAUUAGACCCAUCCUGAAUGGUUCUCGAGGAUGGCUCGCUGUGCUGCACAUGGUGGUAAGUGAAAUUUGAAAAACUUCCACUUUCUGCAGAGUGGUUUUCUACCCUAUACAUGUUCCAUGAUGCAGCUUCUGAACCAGUUGUUGAGGGAACAUAUAAAGACGUCUGCCCUUGACUUGCGUUAACAACAUACCGAUUCUAAGAAAAAAGAAACAAAAGUUAAUGAAUGACAUAUUAAGGCAAGAACCAACCACAAUAAUAGAAUCAAAUUCCAGUUAUUAUGAAAGUAGAUAACUUAUCUAAGAUAAGGUUCUUUUAAAUUCAAAACCCUAAACCAGAUUAAUAAUAAAAUAUGCAAUUAACUUGGAUGUAGUAUACAAAAGUAAAACUGAAAAAACUUUUUCUUCUUCAAAGAAAACUAUCGAAACCAUUUUUAUUUUUGGAAAAAAAACAAAAAUUAGUUGUCGAUAAAAAUUUGGAGUCGCCACCAAUCUUUUAUUAGGGUGUGAUGGGGUCACCUAAAAACGACUUUGGUCUACGAAUUUUAGAAAAACGGGUCCAAGAGUCGGUUACGUAUGAGGAAGGAUUUGCACCCUCAUUACGCCCAAAAUUUGGUACCUAGUUAGUUAAUUAAUGUCUUAAUGUCGAAAAUUUGAAAAAUAUAAUCCUUAGCAAAACUUAAAAACGUUAAGUAUUAAGACCCUUAUCAUUUCAAAGGAAGAAAAUGCCACACCCAAUGCGUUAGGACACGACAUUCUAAUUUCCUCAAAAAUGAAUUAGGCCAAAAUACUCGAGUAAUAAAAAAUUACAAGAAUAUUCAUUUAUUCAAGAUUUAAGAAAUCGCGGCUCAAUACGUUAGGGCACAAUUCCUCCAAAAUCCCAAACUCGGAAUAUUUCCUUUAUUAUUUUUUAGAAAAAAUCUUCAUUUCGAGAAAUCAAUGUGUCACAUCAAAUACGUUAGGACACAACGUGUUGAAUUCCCAAUAAUGAGUUCUUAUUUUUUUUAUUAAAGAGAAAUGGUCGAUUGUUAGAUUUAACGAAGAAAAUCGGAACCCAAUACGUUAAGGCUCAAUUUCCUUGAAAAUCCUAAAUACAAGCAUUAUCUCAAUUUUGAAAAUUUUGAAAUCGAGUAAAAAAAAUGAUAUGAUGCUACAUUAAAUACACAAUGCAAAAAUAAAUAUUACGAUGGCAUAGAAAUAAUAUGAAUAAACAAAAUCGAUAACAAUAAUCCAUGACAUGCAAAAUAUCAAAUAAAUGAACAAAAUAUAAAUGAAAACAUAAAUCAAUAAACAAAUGAAGGACAUAAAAAAUAAAAAAAAAUACAAAAUGUAUACAUUGAAAUUAUGAGGAAUAAAAGACAAACAUAUGAUUUACAUAUAAAAUUUUGGAUUAUAGAUUUAUACAAGCAAAAUACAUAAGAAAAAUAUAUAAAUAUAUAUACAUAUAAAAUAUAUUCAUGCAUUUACAAAAAAAAUGAAAUAUAUAAGUAUAAUAUAAAAACGUGGAAAAUAUUUAUAAUAAGCUUUGAAUGGAGUAUAAAUAUAUGUAUACAUAUUACAAAAAUGUAUAAACAUAUAAAAAUCAUAGAAUAUGGGCAAAUGUAUAAAUAUUAUGAAAUAUAAAUGUGUAUACAUAUAUAUAUGUAUAAAAAACUAUGAAAAUAAAAUAAUAAUAAAGUAUGUAUAUAAUAUGUAUAUAUAUUAAAACGUUUAAAAUAUAUAUGUAUAAAUAAGUAAAAAAAAUAAUCGAAAAAAAAAGUAAGCCACCUUAAAAAACUGCCAAUCGUUUUCCCUUUUUUUUUUUCCUCAUUUUCUUUUUUUAAAAUGAAGGGAGAGACAUCUAUUUAUAGUUGAGCCACCCCAAAUCCAACAAUAUAGAUCAAUUACAUCAGCGACUAAGAUUAAAGGGUAUCUACAAAUUAAAUCUCUAAGAUUACAAAAUCAUAUCUUCUAAUAUUGCAUAUCAUAUCCAAGAUUGCAUAUAUCAUAUCUAAGAUUGCAUAUCAUAUCUAAGAUUGCAUAUCCUUGAAGAUUAUGUUUCCAUAUGUGAGCCCGGGCUAAAAUUGGGUAUUACAAAAACAUUGAUGUAAACUCAAACCCAAUUCACAAUAAGAAAACUCGACUCCUAAAAUGUCACUGUAAGGUAUCUAAACAACAUAGAAACUUCAAACACAAUUCAUUACUCAUUACAAACAAAUCCUUUCAGUUUAAGAUUUCAACACUUCUAUAAUCCAACUGUAAAUCGAUCUAGUUCAUAACAAGAAAAUUCUGCCAGAAAAGAAAGCCUAUGAAACACCCCAUACCCGACCCUCACUGGGUCCGAAUUACAGUGUGCUACAUUCGUUGUCAAGGAAACUACAAUAAUUUUAGAUACAAUCACACGUCACAAUCUGCAUAAACUUACUUAUGAGCAUAUAAUAACACUAUUAACCAAAUUUAAUAUCUACUAAUUUGAUUCUCAAGUUCAUAUAAACAUAAAGAUAUACUAACAGUGACUCAACUAGAUAGGUACAUGCCAACUAAAAUAGUAAAAGUUUCACCAACUCAAUGAGUGCAGUAUUUUCUGAUGGAUGUGGAAAACAAUAAUUGUAUAUGAUUGAACAUAACUUACACACGAAAAACAAACCGAACGUUGAGCAGCAACUUCAUAUUUAUUCUUAGACAAUAGUAGAUUUAAUUCUUAAUUUCAAUCAAUAAUUAAAACAAGUUGUUUUGAACAAAUUUUUAAUACAUUUAUUCGAACCACCCCAUUAUGUACAAAAUGGACUGUCUGUUUAUACAUAUCGAACAACAUUAUUAUGUAAUAAAAAAACAAGUCAACAUUAACGCCACAUAUAACAUCUAAUUGCACAGCUUAAUAUACUCAAUACAUUACCAUAAAUAACAUCCCAUUGAAGAAUGAAUUUAACACGUUCGAAUAGAUCAAUUUUAAGCUCAAUAACGGUUAAUUUAGCAUGUGAACAACAUAUACAUGUUUUGCAUUUACGGCAUGGUUUAAUCAACUUUAAGCAAGAAAUUAAAUGCUGCAAAUUUCCAGCAUUCAAGAUCAUAUAUGGACAACAUUAAUAUGAGAUUUUUGAGCACCUUAAAGACACAUUUGGAAAAUUUGAAGAACCAUUCGAACAGCCACAUUCGAACUAUCUUAAAGACAACUAAAUUUUGUCUUGUUUUGGACAACCUUACGGGUCAGCAAGAAAUCUAUAAAACUACGCCUAACAUGUUAAUUUCAUCAUGCAUUGAACAACAAUAAACAACCAUUAGGCAUUAUAUUAAAUCAACUCUUUAACACAUUCGAACAACUUAAAAUAUAUUGUUGACACCAUUAUUUUGAUAAAACGGGGUCGACUUGGAUUUUGAAAACAAAAACGAAAAAGAAAAAUGAGAGUCGCCGUCAAUCCUUUUUAAUAAGGUGUGAUUAGAUCACCUCGAAAAGUGGUUGUUUUUAAUAAACGAUUUGAUUUUAUUAAAACAACGAUUUUGGUCCACGAAAUUCAGAAAAAUAGGUUCGGAAGUCGGUUACGUACGAGGAAGGAUUAGCACCCUCGUAAUGCCCAAAAAUUGGUACCUAGUUGAUUAAUUAAUGUUUUAAUGUUGAAAAUUAAAAAAUUUAAAGAGACUUAAAGUACGAUCCUUAAAAAAAAUUCGAAUGACAUGGAUUGAGAUUUAAGAGAAUAUUUGCCUAUUUGGUCAAACGGGAAAUCGAAACCCAGCACAUUAGCACACGUUUCCUCGAAUUUCUAAACGCAAAAUAUUGCCUUACUUUAAAAUUUUAAAAGGAUAUUUGGCUAUUUGGUCGAACGAGAAAAAUCGAAACCCAGCACAUUAGGGCACAUUUUCUCGAAUUUCCAAACGCAAAAUAUUGCCUUACUUUGAAUUUUUAAAAGAAUAUUUAGCUAUUUGAUCGAACAAAAAAAUCGAAACCCAGCACAUUAGGGCACGUUUUCUCGAAUUUCUAAACGCAAAAUAUUGCCUUACUUUGAAAUUUUAAAAGGAUAUUUAGCUAUUUAGUCGAAUGAAAAAAUCGAAACCUAACACAUUAGGGCACGUUUUCUCGAAUUUCUAAACACAAAAUAUUCCCUUACUUUGAAAUUUUAAAAGGAUAUUUAGCUAUUUGGUUGAACAAAAAAAUCGAAACCCAGCACAUUAGGGCACGUUUUCUCGAAUUUCCAAACGUAAAAUAUUGCCUUAUUUAGAAAAUUUUUCCUUUUUUGAAGUAAGGUGUUAAUAUGCAUAAUGUAAUAAUAAAUAUGAUAAUGUGAACAAAAAUAAUAUGAGCAAAAGCGAAUAAGAAUAAAAAAAGAAAAAAUCAUUCAUGUGUAUACAAUAACAAGUAAAUAAAACUAAAACAUUAAAAAAAUGAACAUAUAAAUAAAUAAAUAAAUUAUCAUCAAGUAAAACAAUAAUAACAAUAAAGAAACUAGAUAAAAAAAUAUAAAAUAUAAAAAUAGAUAUGUACACGUAAGGGAAAUAUAUAUAUAUGUAUGUAUAUACAUAAAAUUAUGAAAAAUAUGAAAAAUAUAUAUUUUUUAAAAUUAUUAAAUAUAAAAGUUUAUGUAAGUAUGUAUAUACAUGUAUAUGUAUAUAUAAAAUUAUGAAAAAUAUAUAAGUAUAUAUAUAUUUGUAAAAAAAAUGUAUAUAGAUGUAUUUAUAUAUUUGUAUUCUUGAAAGAAAAAAAUGUAUAUGGAUAUAUAUAUAUAUAAAUUCUAAAACAUAUAAAAAUAUGAGUAUGUAUGUAUAUAUUAAAUAAGCUAUACAAUAUAUACGUGUACAUAUAUAUAAGCAAUUAUAUAAUAAUAUAACAUAAUAAUAAGACACGCAUAUUGAUUUUAAUAACAAAAUAAGCAAAAUAACUAAAAAAGGCUAAAUUAGAUUUUAAAACAAAGUUCGGAGCCAAAUCUAUAAAUAAAUAAAAGAGGCGGGACUUCGUUGAACGCGUGAAUAACAUAGAGGGACUGGAAGGGCAAUUUUCCCUUCUCUAAAACGGCGUCGUUCGAAUAGGACUAAAUUGAAAUCAAAAAUAAACUAAAGGGGAAAAUUUAAAAAUACAAAAAAAAAACUGAUUGAGAAAGCAUUAAAAGGCGGAGGGGUUAAAAGUGAAAUUUACCCCUCCGUAUAAAAACACUCGGAUCCUAGAGCAGGCGGGUCGGGUCGGUCUGAUCCAGGUCAAAACGACGUCGUUUUGGGUGUUUUGGAGCUAAGCCAAAACGACGCCGUUUCGCAAUGGUAUAAAUAUCAGUGUUUUGAGAAAAAAAAAUCAUUUAAACACUUAAGAAGGAAAAAAUACAAAAAAAAGGGUUGUCCCUCUGAACUAAGUCCAGAUUUCGACCAAGGCCCACAGCACCGGCAUCGCGCAGGCACCUCGCCGACCACCGUGUACGGUGGCCGAAAAUUUCAAGAAAUGUAUUUUUUAUAAUUUUUUACGAAUACAAGUUGUUCCUUAAAAAAAGAAUAAAGAAAAUAAAGAUAAAAAAGAAAUGAGUAUAAAAAGAAAAGAAAUGCAAAAAUGAAAAUCACCUUGGAGUGAAUCCAUUUGUUUGUUUUUGAAUCUGAUUUGCAUUUUUCUUGCUAACGUGUUCCUACAAAAUCUAUAAAAAAAAAAGAACCCCCAAAUUACAGAAAAAAAUUGGCUUUUUAUAGCCGAUUCUCCGCCAGUCCUUCUUUGCUCUAUUGCCUUCUUUUAUUACUUGCAGGUGACUGAUGCGACAAGUGGGCAAGUGGCGGCAGAUAAUAUGACAGUGGCAGUGGGUCGGUAGCGACUCCGCCGGGGACACAAAAUAAAAGAGUCAAGCCAUGAAUUGAUUAUUUUUUAUCUUUUUUGUCGAAAAUUUAAAACUUAGUUUAAAUGUACGAUCCUUUCAUUGCAUUUUAUCGAUCUUUAUUACAAUUUUCAUCGUUGAGGUUUAUAAUUGAUGUGUUAGUUUAAGUUUUGGUAUCUUUCUGCAUUGCAUGACCGUUCGUCACACCCUUUUAAGUGGGAGUUUGAAGCUAAUCCUUCGUGAGGUUUUCACCUCCGUGCAGGAUAGUGGAUCGCUUUCGGGAUACAUCCGUACCUAUCUCUUCGUGAGAUUUUCAUCUCUGUGUAGCCAUAGGGAAAUGUAUUCCCCUGAACCAAAAUCGAUCCGUAUAAGCCUAUAAUGGGUGAGGAUCGAAGAAUCUGCUGGUUCGGGUACCUUUCCUUUAAAACCAAACCACAUGUAGUGAGCCCUAAGAGCCCACCCUAGGUAGAGCCACUUCAAACCCUUAGUGGUUACCUCAAUAGGUACUCUAUUUUUCUUAUUUGCUUUUGCUUUGUACUAACCCGUUUCGUUUUCAUCAUAAGAAAGAGGUGUUGAUUCAUGUUCAUACAUUUGCAUUACAUGACAUCAUGUGCAUUAAGGACCACUAAAAUACCCUAAUUGAGUACAAUUAUUUCAGUUAAUCUGGAAACCAAAAAGAAUCCACCAACCAAAUAUCACUACGGUACUCGCCGUACAACAAAAGAAAUUGAUCAGAGGUUAGAAAGAUUGGAACAAUUGCAAGAAGAGAUGCAAGAUCAGAUGCAAGAGCGACUGGAUAAAAUCCAACAAGACAUUCAAGAGUCUCAAAGAACUAUGAUAAGUCAAUUGUCGCAGUUAUUGGCUGGAGGGAAUGAUAAAGGAAAAAGCACUGUAGUUGAUUCUGGGGUUGAUCAUGAGGGUCCUGUUUAUCCUUCAGGUUUCACCCCGACGCAACCAGAGAUGUGCCCACAAAGAAUACUUGUCACUAUCAUACCUCAAUAUCAGGCUGGUGUCUCGGCAUCAAUGAACUUUCAAACAGACUCAGGUUCCAAUCCGGAGGACAAUCCAACCAAUCCUGUAGUUCCUGAUCUAGAUGAAAUAGAAAAAGUAAGUGGAACUGCCAAAACAACUCGAAGAUCGGUACAAGUGGUUAGAGGAAAAACUUAAAGCAAUGGAAAUUGCUGACUACCAUCACGGGGUUGACGCUAGCGAUCUAAGUUUGGUUCCAGAUUUAAUACUCCCACCAAAAUUUAAGACUCCAGAAUUUGAAAAGUACAAUAAGACUAGUUGGCUUGAAGCUCACAUCAAGAUGCUCUGUCGAAGAAUGACAGGAUACAUUAAUAACGAUCAAUUGUUAAUUCAUUGCUUCCAAGAUAGUUUGGUCGGGUUGGCUGCCAAAUGGUACAACCAGUUGAGCCGUGCUAACAUCCACUCAUGGAAGGACUUGGUACAGGCUUUUAUGAAGCAAUACAGUUAUGUAAAAGACAUGACACCUGACAGAAUUACACUGCAGAAUAUGGAAAAGAAGCCAAGUGAGAGCUUCAGACAAUUUGCCCAAAGAUGGAGAGAGGUUGCGACACAAGUUCAGCCACCUCUUUUGGAGAAAAAAACCACGAUAUUUUUCAUCAACACUCUUAAAGCACUGUUCAUUAACCACAUGUUAGGAAGUGCUACCAUUAGCUUCUCAGAUGUAGUGAUGUCUGGUGAGAUGAUUAAAAAUGUAAUAAGAAGUGGGAAGAUAGAUGCGUGAGAAGGCGUCAAGAGAUCAACCCUAAAGAACAAGAAAAAUGAGGUGAACAACACGAGUACAUAUAACAAGGGUUAUUCAAAAUCAAUUACGGUGAAUCAGUUAAGAAAAAUGGUCGCUAACCAAUAGGGUUCAUCAAUACAAGAAUCUGGAACAAGACAAAACACUGAGAAGUUUCAGUUCACGCCAAUUCGGAUGUCGUAUAAGGAGCUAUAUCAAAGCUUAUUCAAUGCGCACAUUACUGCCCCUUUUUACUCAAAACCCCACAACCUCCGUACCCCAAAUGGUACGACACGAAUGCACAAUGUGAUUAUCAUGCGGGAAUUAUGGGACAUUCCAUAAAAAAUUACAUUUCCUUUAAAAAAAGUGGUUGAAAGGCUUAUCAGUAUGCGCGUUGUCAAAAUUGAUGAUUCCUCCAGUGCAGAAAAUUCGCUACCCAAUCAUGACUGAUAAUGGAGUGAAUACAAUCAUGAAGAAGUUAAGAAAUGUUCACAUCAAUGUUAUUUGUGAAAAAACUACUGAAGGACCUUGUUAGAUAUUCGCCCUUAUAAACCUGAGAGUGUUCUAAAUAAUGGGACUGCAGAAGAGACCCUGUAGUAUUUAGAGCCUACUUAGAGUAAUAUUCAAAACACACUUGUUGCUUUCAGCUUAGAGGCAAUAAGAACUCUUUUGUGAAAUAGGCUCAUGUCUGAACGUCGUUAUUUUAAUGAAAUAUAUCUUUGCAAUCAUUUUUGAGCCAAUAUUCUUUCAUUCUUUAUUAAUAAUUUUUUUUAUUCUUUCAUUCUUUCUUCCAAAUCAUUUUUUCAUUCAUUCAUAAUCAUACUGUACAGAUAAUUAUUCUUAAAUUCAUACAUUCCUUGUACCUACAAUAGGUCCCUAGAUAUCAACGACAUGAGUGACGCUGCUACAGACUUAGAAUCUCCUUUUGAGCAAGACAUGUGUUUAGAGGGAUCUCAUGACGUUCAGACAUGAGCCUAUUUCACAAAAGAGUUCUUGUUGCCUCUAGGCUGAAAGUAACAAGUGUGUUCUGAAUAUUACUCUAAGUAGGCUUUAAAUACUAUAGGGUCUCUUCUGCUGUCCCAUUAUUUAGAAAACUCUCAGGUUUAUAAGGGCGAAUAUCUAAUAAGGUCUCUUCUUCAGUAGCUUUUUCACAAAUAACAUUCAUAUGAACAUUUCUUAACUUCUUUAUGCAUUGUAUUCACUCCAUUAUCAGUUAUGAUUUGGGUAGAGUAUUUUCUGCACUAGAGGAAACAUCAAGUUUGACAACGCCCAUACUGAUAAGCCUUUCAACCACUUUUUUAAAGGCAAUACAAUUUUCUAUGGAAUGCCCCAUAAUUCCCGCAUGAUAAUCGCAUUAUGCAUUCGCGUUGUACCAUUUGGGGUACAGAAGUUGUGGGGGUUUUGAGUAAAAAGGGGCAACAAUGUGCGCAUUGAAUAAGCUUUGAUAUAGCUCCUUAUACGACAUCAGAAUUGGCGUGAACUGAAGCUUCUCAGUGUUUUGUCUUGUUCCAGAUUCUUGUCUUAAUGAACCUUGUUGGUUAGCGACCAUUUUUUUUACUAAUUCACCGUAAUUGAUUUUGAAUAACCCUUGUUAUAUGUACUCGUGUUGUUCACCUCAUUUUCCUUGUUCUUUAGGGUUGAUCUCUUAACGCCUUCUCCCGCAUCUAUCUUCCUACUUCUUAUUACAUUUUCAAUCAUCUCACCAGACAUUACUACAUCUAAGAAGCUCAUGGUAGCACUUCCUAACAUGUGGUUAAUGAACGGUUUUUUUAGAGUGUUGAUGAAAAGUAUCGUGGUUUCUUUUUCCAAAAGAGGUGGCUGAACUUGUGUCGCAACCUCUCUCCAUCUUUGGGCAUAUUGUCUAAAGCUCUCACUUGGCUUCUUUUCCAUAUUCAGGAGUGUAAUUCUGUCAGGUAUCAUGUCUUUUACAUGGCUGUAUUGCUUCAUAAAAGCUUGUGCCAAGUCUUUCCAUGAGUGGAUGUCAGCACGGCUCAACUCGUUGUACCAUUUGGCAGCCGACCCGACCAAACUAUCUUGGAAUCAAUGAAUUAACAAUUGACUGUUAUUAACGUAUCCUGUCAUUCUUCGGCAGAACAUCAUGAUGUGAGCUUUAGGAAAAUUAGUCCCAUUAUACUUUUCAAAUUCUGGAGUUUUGAAUUUUGGUGGGAGCAUUAAAUCUGGGGCGAAACUCAGAUCCCUAGCGUCAACCCCAUAAUGGUAGUCAGUAAUUUCCAUUGCUCUAAGUUUUUCCUCCAACCACUUGUACCGAUCUUCGAGUUGUUUUGGCAGUUCCACUCUUGCUUUUCUAUUUCAUCUAGAUCAGAAACUACAUGAUUGGUUGGAUUGUUCGCCGGAUUGGAACCUGAGCCUGUUUGAAAGUUUAUUGGUGCCAAGACACCAGCCUGAUAUUGAGGUCUGAUAGUGACAGGUAUUCUUUGCGAGCACAUCUCUGGUUGCGCCGGGGUACUCGUCGGGGUUUCAGGGCCCUCAUUAUCAACCCCAGAAUCAACUAUAGGGCUUUUUCAUUUAUCAUUCCCUCCAGCCAAUAACUGCGACAAUUGACUCAUCAUACUUCUUUGAGACUCUUGAAUGUCUUAUUGGAUUUUAUCCAGCCGUUCCUGCAUCUGAUCUUACAUCUCAUUUUACAAUUGUUCCAAUCUUUCUAACCUCUGAUCCAUUGCUUUUGUUGUGCGGUGAGUACCGUAGUGAUAUUUGGUUGGUGGAUUCUUGUUGGUUUCCAGAUUAACUGAAAUAAUUUUACAAAAUUAGGAUCUUUUAAUGGUCCUUAAUGCACAUGAUGUCAUGUAAUGCAAAUGUAUGAAAUGAAUGCAAAAACGAGACGUUGAUUCUUGGUUCAAUUCUUAUUAGAACAACUUUACAAGAAAACAAAUCUCUUUACAUAAAGCAAAUGCAUGUAUGGCCUCGCCCUCAUACUCCAAGAAACAUCGAUCUUUCCCUUUGUCCGGAUGUUUAAGAUAAAUCUCACAAAUUUUCAAUGGAUGCCACUACUAGCUCUUUCUUGCCUAAUCUUGGUUGCAAUCCAUCGUCUGCCCAUCCUCGUAAUGUUCACCAGUUUCUUUAAGGAAGUCGGAAUGUCGAUGACUCAAAUAAUUAGCUUGAAUUCUUGGGCCACGAAAUAAAGUUGGGUACUCUUCCAUCGCCCUUCUUUUGCUGUGUUUCUUGGGGAUAUAUUCGAGCAGCCAUAUUGUAAUCCACUUUAUCAGGAAAACCAUUUUCUUAUGAUAAACUCUCUAUUUAGCAACUGAACGUGAAUCAACACCUCUUUCUUAUGAUGAAAAUUCAAUGCAAUCAUAAACAAAACAAAACAAAACGGGUUAGUACAAAGGAAAAGAAAACAAGAAAAAUAGAGUACCUAUUCAGGUAACCACUAAGGGUUUAAAGUGGCUCUACCUAGGGUGGGCUCUUAGGGCUCACUACAUGUGAUUUGGUUCUAAAGCAAAGGUACCCGCACCAACAGAUUCCUCGAUCCUCACCCAUUAUAGGCUUAUACGGACCGAGUUCAAUUCAGGGGAAUACAUUUCCCUAUGGCUGCACGGAGAUGAAAAUCUCACGAAGACAUAGGUACGGAUGUAUCCCGAAAGUGAUCCACUAUCCUGCACGAAGGUGAAAACCUCACGAAGGACUAACUUCUCACUCCCACAUAAAAGGGUGUGACCAACGGUCAUGCAAUGCAAUGCACAAAGAUACCAAAACUUAAACUAACACAGCAAUUAUAAACCCCAACGAUGAAAAUUGUAAUAAAGAUCGAUGAUAUGUAAUGAAAAGAUCAUACAUUUAAACCAAGUUUUCAAUUUUCGACAUUAAAACAUUAAUUAAUCAACUAGGUACCAAUUUUUGGGCGUUACGAGGGUGCUAAUCCUUCAUCGUAUGUAACCGACUCCCAAACAUGUUUUUCUUAAUUUCGUGGAACAAAAUCGUUGUUUUAAUAAAAUUAAAUCGUUUAUUAAAAACAACCACUUUUCGAGGUGAUCCAAUCACUUUAUUAAAAAGGAUUGGUGGCGACUCCUGUUUUUCGUUUUCGUUUUUAAAAUCCAAGUCGACCCCAUUUUAUCAAAAAAAUAGUGUCAACAUACAUCAUUUGAAUAUCAUAAAUCACAACUUUCAGACACCAUAAUUGCAGCAUUUAACACCUAAACUUUUAGCUUACUAACAUCAUAAAUUCAUAUCCAUUUGGACAUCAUUAGUUAACAUUUAACAAUUCAGUUUCACAUUGUUCAGACCAUUUUAAUUCCCUGGUCACUUGGAUGAUCUUUAAUUAUUAUUUGGACAACAAUAAACAACCAUCGAUCAUACCACCUAAAUUGAUAAGAAAUUAGACAACAUGCAUGCAAACUGCAUGCUUCAGCAGCUCCCUCGACAGCUAGAAAUUUCACUAAAAUUUCAGUUAAUUCCAUCAUUCGUACCAGCAUAAAGAUGCAACAACACAACCAAGGAAGAAAAGGUAAAGAACUCAGUAUCAUUUAUUUAAUUAAUUAAAUAACAUAUGCAAUUUUUGCAUUUUUAGCAAGUUGAAAACAUCUUUAAACAGGGAAAUUAAAUGCUGAAAGUCUAACAUUUGGACAGAGGCCAAAGUUGGCAUUUAACUUCUCAUAAUUCCCUAUUAUUUCAAUCAGUAGCAGUCCAUCUCCUCAACAAAUUUAAGUAUAUUCAAUUCAACAAUUUCAUACUUAAAAUUGAGCAUUCUUAACAACGGUCAUCAAAAAUUAACUCAACAUUUAAUCUCUUCAGUUUUUCUUUUAUCCUGAAUAGCACAUACAUUAAUUUCAAACAAAAGGAAAGGUAUAAGAAUUUAGGAGAAUACCAAGCUCCAAACAAGCUGUUAAUCAAGUCUGUCAAGCUAAAUUCAUUUAUCCAAAAAAAAACAAUAUUUAGUUAUCCAAAUACCAGCUUCAGACAUGAUAAUUUGCAGCAUUUAAAUACCUAAAGUUUCAGCAGUCAGAUAACAUGGUUUACAACAUAUAACACUCUAAGUGCAUGUUUGGUUGGGUGUAAUGGCAUAGCCAUUACAUCCCUAUUACGUGGGCCCCACCUAUUCAUAUGUUUGGUUGGGUGUAAUGCUCUAUUACAUCCCUAUUACAUUACAUAUGUAUUACUGCUAUUACACCGAUUUCUAUUCCCUGGCCAAAGUUCAGUUUAGCUUCCGUUUAGCCCUCUCCCGAUUUUUAUGCCCUGUUUUACCCUCUCAUUUUCCCAAGCCGAAAGCCACUUCUAGAACUCUCCCUCCCAACAUCAUUUUAAGCUGGCAGCAAAGUCACCUCCACCGCUUCCGUUUCACUUUCACCUCCACCUCCACCGCUCCCUGUUUUACAGGAUUUUGUCGACCAAAAAUAGACUUGUGUUCUUCAAAUGCAGAGAGUAGGGAAGUCUCUUGUAUCAAUCCCAAGUAUCUCCAAAUAAACCCUCAACAAAACCUUUCCAAUUCAAUCAACGUAAACAUUGCCUGCCCUAACAUUUUUACGUUUCUUUCAACGUGUUUUCCCUUUUAUGUUUAAUGUUUAUGAGGAAAGAUUCAACAUUUCUCGAAAUCGAAUCAUGCAUUCACCUUUAGUGGCAUAUAAGGUUUCUGAAAACUAGGGCUUAAAUCCCAAUUUCAACGAUGAAAUAUUGCACUUUUUCGAAGUUAUAAUUCAACUCAGAAAAAAUUUAGAAGUUUGAAUCCCAAUUUUCGUGAUCAAAGAUUUAAUAUAUUCAUAAAAUAAAACUUUAAUUCAUUUGACAAAGAAUUAGAAGUUGUAAUGGCUGCGAAUGAGUUACAGGGGAGUUCUUACGGUUAAGAGGAAAUCCUCGAAGGGUAAAGGGAAAGUUGUUGUUUCUAGUUCUGAAAAUAGGUUUGAGAUUUUGAAUGAUGAAUGUGAAUUGGAAUAGAUUGAUCAAGGUCAACUGGGAGAAGAUUUAGUUAAUCCUUUUUUUGGAAUGUAAGGGGUUUUAACAAUUCCCUCAAAUAGAUUAGUGUUAUGAAUAGAAUGAAGGAGUUGAGAGUUGAUGUAGUUUGUUUUUCAUUACAAUUUCAUAUAACGAGCAUAUGUAUCACCACGUUCAUUUAUAUACAUUUAUUUCAUUCAUUGUCAUGUAUUUCACAUAUUGUCGUUUGAAACAUACUCACCUUUCAUUCUUGAAUAUCGUAUACACUUCGUACGUACCUGAAUCAGAUAUACUUUCACAUAGUCAUUCAUUUCUCAAUAUUGUCCGUCGAACCGUUAGGAAUCAAUAAGGAUACUCGGAUAGUUCGGAAGCUCUUACAAUGCCAACGUCCUAGACGUGGUCUUACAUGUAAUCAAAUAUCGAUGCCACUAUCCCAGACAGGGUCUUACACGAAAUCAUAUACGAUGCCAAUGUCCCAAACAUGGUCUUACACGUAAAUCUCAAAUCGAUGCCAACGUCCCAGACGUGGUCUUACACAAAAUCACAUAUCGGAAUCCUAUGUCAUGACAUAUGUAUCCUAACUAUUCCUAUGGUUUGUACGGGACUUUCAGACGUCGUAAUUUGAUCGAUUCAAGCUCGUAUUUAAUUCUCCCAUGCUUAUAUCAAUUCGACAUGAAUACAUAUAAACAUAGUAAUUUAAUUCGACAUAUUUAAUACAUAUACAUUUAAAUUUAACGACAUUUAUUCACUUAUGAACUUACCUCGUACGGACACGAACUAACCAGACGACUAUUCGAAAAUUUUCGAUUUUUCCCCGAUCCAUAUUCGAUCUCCUCUUUUCUUGACCUAAUUCAAUUCAAAUCUGGCUUGUUUAAUAACAUAUUCAUUCAAUUUUAUCCAAAAAUACAUAAUUUGGGCAUUUUGCAUUUUAGCCCCUAACAUUUCACAUUUUUACAAUAGUCCCUAUUUCAAAAUAACACAAAUUACUCAAAAUUUCCACAAACCCAUGUUAGGCCGAAUUUACCUUAGGUCCUUAGCAGCCCAUUUAUUCAAUUUAUUUCACAAUUUGACCCUUCAAUUUACAAAUUUCACAAUUUAAUCCUUAAUACACAUUUUUAUCAAAAAUCAUUUAAUUAAACAUAUUAAUCUAUCAACAAUUAUUUAUUUUUCAUCAUCAAACAACAAAAACAUCAAGCUAUUAUCAAUGGCAAAUCACAAAUUCAUCAUAAAUUCUGAAAAUUAGGGCAUGGGCUAGCUAGAAUACGAAGCAACGAUCUCAAAAAUAUAAAAAUCAUCAAAAACCGAGCAAAGAACAUACCUAAAUUAAGAUUUAAAGGUGCCGAAAUAUUUAAGCAACCAUGGUUUCUUUUUCCUUCAACUUUCGGCCAAAAAGAUAAGAAUGCAUGGUUAUUUUUUUGUUUUGUUUAUUUAAUUAACCAUUAUUUAUUUAAUUACCAAAAUGUCCAUUAAUAAAACAUAAAUAAAACACUUAAAGGUGGUCCAUCUUUGUCCACUCAAUUAUUCAAUGGUCAAAUCACAACAUAAGGACCUCACUUUUAAUUAACUAAAGCAAAUAAGCACUUUAACUUAUAGCAUGCUACUUUUCAAUUUUACGCGAUUAAGUCCUUUUGUCAAAUUGAGCACACAAACGAUAAAAUUUUCACACGAAAUUUUUACACAUUAAUUCACAUAUUGUAAACACCAAAAGUAAUUUUAAAAUAUUUUUUGACUCAGAUUCGUGGUCCCGAAACCACUUUCUGACUAGGGUCUAAAUCGGGCUGUUACAGUAAGUUUGCCUAUAUGACGAUACGAACUUGCAUUGUGCUGUCUCAUAGAAGAGUAAUCGGAUUCAAUGUGCAAACUAUGUAGAAUAUAGGUUAGGACCCAGUCGGAUAAUGGGUCGGUAAUAGUGAGUAUCAUAACACCUAUAAUAUUAUUUAUUUAAUUAAUUCAAAUAAAUUUAAUUAUUUCUCUCAAUUAAGUAUGAACUAAUUAAUUGUAUAUAUAACCUAAAAUGAAAAACAAACAAUUAGCAGUAGUAUGAUCAUCUCAUACCUUAUUGAGUUUUUGUUUUUUCCUAUGGGAGUUGGUUGUUGUGAGCAGUUUACAUUGAGUCUAUGGUGUUGAGACACACAAAGUGGGAGGUUUCUUUGUUUUUAAGAGAAAGUUUAUCUCCUUUCUUAAUGUAUGUAAGCCCUAGGAAAUAGUGGCCCAGUUUUUUAGACCUACAAUUAAGGUUAAUGGGCCACGUGACUAGACAAGACUGGUUGUUCAGUUGGUGGUUGAUAGCAAGAGGCCAUUGCUUGGGAUGUGAUAGAUGUGAUGAGAUAGAUCUUUGAUAUUGGGAUUGAUAGGGGUAGUUCCGUAGUUGGGCGAACCUAUGUAUUAAUGAGUCAUUGUGCUGGAUGGAUGCUCUAAGCCAAGCGGGGUUUGGUGAGCAUCCCCUUUGCAGGGAUGUCACAAAACAAUUUUAUAACUUAUUAAUUUUACUACAAGAAAUACGAUAAUUCUCUUUUUAUGAAAAGAAUGUGAUAGUGUUAUGAUUGAAUACAUAUAAUAAAAAAAUUAAACAUUUCAACUAGAUGUAUCCAUGUGCUAGUCGAGCCAGGCCACAAGUCAAUUUUAAAAAAAAUUCUAAGCUUGAGCUCGAGCCCGACUUAGCCUAACUCAUCAAGAAGCUCAUGUUAUUGUUAAAAAAAAUAAAAUUUUAAAAAAUAAAAUUUUAUAUUAAUAAUUUAUGUAUCUAUACUAUAUAUAAAGUGGUUGAUUGAGUUGGUUUCAUGAGUCAACUCGAUACCAGCUCAGAUGUAAAAUUAUUAGAAUACUCUUAUAUUAAAGUGUAAUUAAUAUUAUUGUAAGGGUAUUUUCAUCUUUUCAUGUUUUUCUAUAAUUUUCAAAUAAAACAACUAAAAAAUAUUAUUUGAAAAUUGAAUACAAGACCAACAAAUUCAUAUAAUAAAACCCUUGUCACUCCACUAAUCAUCAUCUAUUAAUAUAUUUUUUUAAUAUGAAAUAUUUUUGUUUGCCCACAUUUUGGGUGUGAUAAAUUUUAGGCCUCGUUUGAUAGACCAUUGAAAAAAAAUCAUUGAAAAUUAAUAUUUUCAAUAAUUUAAUUUUUUAGGCAUGUUUAAUAAUCUAAAAUAAAAUCAAUGUGAUAGAAUUUUUCUAUAAAAAAUGUGGAAAAUAAUUAGAUUUAUCAAUUGGUGGAGAAUAUUUUUAAUUAAUUCAAUUUUAAUUAAUUUAUUUUAAUAUUAUAUUAUCCUAUAAAAAUUUACAUUUAAAAUUUGAUUUUUGCGUAGAAUAAGGUGAAAUGUUUAAGAGUUAAAGGAUAAAAUGUACAAUUUAUUUAUUUUUAUAAUUUAAAAUUUAUAUUUAUCAAACAAUUUAAUUAUAUUUCGUAAAUAAUUUUAAGUAAUACAUCAGAUAAUUUUAUAACUUAAAUUUAGUACUUAAAUUUUUAAUAUUUAAUUUUUUAACCUUUAUUUUUUUAAUUUUAUAAUUUAAUUUAAAUUUGAUUGAUGUCACCCUAACUGAAAAUAAAAAAUCUUCACUAUAACCUAUGAAUAGGUUUAACGUCAACUAAAUCAAUGAUGCAAUUACAAAAAAAAUUCGUUAUUUAUCAAAUCUGUAAUUGACAUUGGUUAAUCAUUAAUUAAAUUCUAAAUAUUAUAACCAAUUCACAUUAUGCUUCAUUUAACAUUUAAUAAAUUAUUUUUGAUACAAACAAAUACCAUUUUUGUAAAAAUUUUUGACAAAUUACAAUAACAGGGCAAAGCUCGAACAAAAAACGCGGCAAAUACGACUCAAACCCAUGUCAUACUUGGAACAAUGAACACCCUUGAAAGAACUUGAUAAAAGAUUGAAAAUAUAUCUAGCCAAACAGAAGGAAAUAGAGAGAACAGAGAAUAAACUUCUUUUCUUUGUAUUCAAAAUUGCUUGCUUUUGAAAUCUCAAUGUACAGUAUUUAUAGACUUUGUUGACUAGUCUAAACUGAGCAACAACCUUACCAGACUCACAACUAACUAACAACUCCUAUACUCUAAUAUUUAUCCAUCUUUUCCACAGGCAACACCCGUAGAAAACUCCUAAAACGAGUAAAACUCGAUAGCGAAAGCGGCUUAGUAAGAACAUCAGCGAAUUGAUCACACGCUGGAACUUCACCAACGACAACAGUACCAUCAGCAACCUUCUUACAAACAAAAAAUAAAUCUAACUCAACAUGCUUAAAUUUUGAAUGGAGAACAGGAUUGGCAGCAACCGCAACUGCCCCAGAACUGUCACACCAAAUAUUUGGAAUACUAUUAGACUGAACAUGUAAUUCUUGAAGUAAUGAUAAAAGCCACGUAACCUCACUAGUAACUACAGCAAGACUUCGGUAUUCUGCCUUAGCAGUAGACCGAGCAACAACCUGUUGUUUCUUCGUACACCACGACACAGGUGUAUGUCCGAAAUAGACACAGUAUCCAGUAGUGGGUCUCCGGUCAUCAAAAUCUAAUCCCCAGUUUGCAUCAGCAUAUCCAACUAAGGACAAACCUGUGGACGGACGAAACACAAUCCCAAAAUCAAUCGUUCCACCUAGAUAUCUCAAAAUGCGCUUCAGAGCGGUCAUAUGAAUGGAGGUGAGGCAAUGCAUAAACUGACAUAUUCGAUUUACAGCAUAUGCAACAUCAGGCCGCGUAAGAGUGACAUACUGUAAAGCUCCUGCAAGACUCAUGUAUUCAGUCGGAUCAUCUAACCGCUCACCACCAUCUCUAGUCAUAAUAGAGGAACUAAUCAUCGGUGUAUGAACACUCUUCGCAUUUUCCAUCGAACAACGUAUAAGAAAAUCACGUAUAUACUUCUUCUGACAAAGAAAAAGACAGCCUGACAAAGAACGAAUAACCUCUAUCCCAAGAAAGUAAUGGAGAUCACCCAUGUCCUUAAGCGAGAACUCACUAUUCAGCAAUCUAACAAACCACUCUAUAACAGAAGGCACAUCACCAGUAAUAAUGAUAUCAUCAACGUACACAAGAAUAUACAAUGUUGAAGCUGGUACCACUCGAACAAAUAAGGAAGCAUCAGACUUUGAUACCACAAACCCCACAAAAACUAGAAAUCCUUUUAACUUCUCAAACCAGGCACGAGGAGCCUAACGAAGACCAUACAACGCUUUCUUCAGACGACACACCAAAGGUCUGCCAUCUUCAGAUCGCCAUUUAGAAACGCAUUAUUCACAUCCACUUGCCGAAGCGACCACCCCUUAUACACAGCAAUAGACAAAAUAACUCUGAUAGUAGCCGGUUUGACCACUGGACUAAACGUUUCCUUAAAAUCACAACCUGAAACUUGAGAGCAUCAUUUUGCGACUAAGCGAGCCUUAUGUCGAGCAAUAGUACCAUCAGAAUUCUUCUUGAUUCUGAACAACCAUUUGCACCCAAUGAUCUUACGAUUAGACGGAGUAGGAACUAGCUCCUAUGUGGAAUUACGCAUAAGAGCAUCAUACUCAGCUUGCGCAGCAUCGCGCCACUCAACAACUUCAACAGCUUCUUCAAUCAUAGUCGGUUUAACAGCUUCAACAUUUAAAACCUUAGGCUUGUAAACUCCCGCUUUUGCUCGAGUGACCAUUGGGUGAGUAUUAUCCGUAGGUGGCCUACUAAUCUGACUAUCAGAUGCCGAUGAAACACUUGCAGACAUUCUUAUAGUAGAAUGAGAGUGAGCAUUGUUAUCACUUGAUGAUCCCGAGCCAUGCACUGCUGGAAGAUCACUCAACUCAGUCCCAUCAUUAGCUGACGAACCAUGAGCUCAAAGAUUACCCGACCCAGUCCCAACAUCAGCUGAAGAAUCAUGAGACUGAGACUGCUCCAAAUUAACAUCUAAUACAGGAUCAGUAGACUGAGAUUGCAACCCUUGUAAAGAUGGUGUCAUCAUGCAAGGCUCAAGAGUUGAGGAAUAAUAUGGCCACACAAGAGGAACAACAGUUGAACUAGUCUGACUGGUCGUCGACACAGACUUGUCUGGACUAGUCUCAGCAAAUAGAAAUCUCUGCUCAUCAAAUACCACAUGCCUUGAAAUUAUAACUUUACCAUCGGGUAAAAGACAUUGAUACCCCUUGUGACGAGGACUGUAGCCCAAAAAUGUAGACGGCUGAGAUCGAAAUUCCAACUUAUGACCUACAAACGGACGUAAGUAAGGAUAACAACAGCAGCCAAACACUCGAAGAUGAUCAUAGGUCGGAUCAUGUCCAUAUAGUGCCUUAAACGGAGAACUGUUCUGAAGGACAACAGUAGGAAGUCGAUUUAUAAGAUGAACUGCACAGCAAAACGUAUACCCCCAGUAUUCCAUAGGCAAAUUUGCGUGAGCCAACAAUGUAAUACCCACUUCAACAAUGUGACGAUGUUUACGCUCAGCUACUUCAUUUUGUUCUGAAGUAUACGGACAUGUCAGUCGAUGUAUGAUUCCUUGAGAUUCUAAGAUAGACGUAAAACCACGGUAUUCGCCUCCCCAAUCACUCUGGAACUGCUUAAUAGACUUGCCAAACUGUGUCUUAAUUAACUGUUGAACCUGAGUGAAGCAUUCUAGUGCUUGAGCUUUUUGACGUAAAAGAUAAACCCAAGUAAACCGAGUACACAUAUCAAUAAACGAAACAUAAUAUCUUUUAUCACCACAUGCAACAGGUGCAAGACCCCAAAGAUCAGACACAACCAACUCAAAAGGACGAUAGCUAGUAGUCGAAGGUGAGAAAUGCAACUUAUGUGACCUGCCUUUUUGACAUGCAGUACAUAUACCAUCCAAACUAUUUUUACUUGAAGCAACAUUACAUUUAUUUAAAACUGUUUUGACUACAGAAGUUUAUGGGUGGCCUAAACGAUUAUGCCAUAAAGCAAACACAUUAUUAUUUGAAACUGUAUGUGGAACUUGCGAAUGAGUAACAAAUGGAGCAAUCGUAGACGGAGUAGAACCCACUGGCACAGAAAACUGAUAUAGUCCAUCAUGAAUGCGGCCCAUCAGCAAUGUCUCCCGAGUCACUGUAUCCUUAAUAACACAAUGGUUAGGAUGAAACUCAAAAUACAAAUCAUUAUCACGAGCAAACUGUGAGACGGAUAAGAAGUUUUUCCGUAUACUUGGCACACAUAAGACAUUUGAUAAUUGUAACGGUUUAUACUGAGUAGGUAAAAUAGUAAUACCAAUUGACGAAAUUACCGUAGGAGUACCAUCACCCAUUAAAAGAGAUGACGUACCUGAAUAUGGCGCGACAUCACGUAAAGCUGACACAUCGCGACAGACAUGAUGACUCGCUUCCGAGUCAGGAUACCAAGAUGUGGUGCCACCUUGCACUGGAACGUACGGAGCAUCAUUACUAGUACUAAAUCCAAGUUGAGCAGUAUUGACAUGAGAGCCAGAUUCUGAAGGAUCAGAAUAAUCAGAUGCACGUAAGUCCCCUAGCCGAGGGAGCCCAAUACACGGUUCGGACCCAGUAUAAACUCGAGCACGCGGUUUGGUAAAUUGCAGAACUCGAUCAACACCAAUCGGUUCAGGCGAACUGGGAUCACUUUGAUCAACUUGAACAAAAUUAGAUGACGGAACCCCAUUUACAUUUGGGUCAAUAUUCGGCCCAUGAGUGGAAUUUACCACAUUCAGCCAUUGCAACCCACUCCGUCCAUUUCCAGCAACAAAAUCCAAUGGGGCAUUUCCAUUAAACCCAUUGCUAUUAAAACUAGGCCCAUCAUUAUGACCAAACUGACGCAAACUUGACUUAAAAUUAUUUCUAUAUGGCCGGCCAUAUUCAUUUGCAUAUGACACCUGCGGCCCACGUGCCAAUUUCUCACUUUGCAUGCCAGCACUCCAAUUUUGACCACCAUUUCUAUUUUAACUUGCAUAGUACCCUUGGCCAUAAAUUGUUCUCUGACUUUUGGGAUAAUGAGCCACAUAUUUUUCUUCUUCUUCUUACGCACACGGUCCAAAUUCAGCUCGCUCAACACCCGACGGAACCCCUUGACAAGAGAUCGACGGCACCACGGACGAGGUAUUCGAGUCUCUAUGAUAACGGUAGUAGCACUUCUGAGCCACAUGACCAAAUCGACUACAGAUCUCGCAUUGAAUGCGAGAUCGGAAGGUUCUGCCACGGCCACGAACAGACGUAUGACUGCCACGACUGCCUCCUUCAACCGACGGCGCAUCCUCAACCAGAUUUGCGUUCAAAUUUACCUCCUACAACACUUGAGCUUGACGACUCUCACAAUCAACUAAAGCAUCAACCAAACGUUGUAACGGCAGAACUCCAGUCGACAGCCUAGCGGAGGAGAUAACCGCCUCAAACUCUGACGGCAAUCCCGCGAGCAUCACCUCAAUCUUCUCUUCAUCAGAGAGACGAGAACUAGAGGCAUCUAACAUAGCACACAAAUCUUUAAUUUUAGCAACAUAAGCUUUAAUGGAAAGGUUACCUUUCUUCAAAGAAUGAAGCUCAUGCCGAAUUCGUGACUGCUUAGCACCAGUGUCAGCCGCAAACAGAUUAAUAGCCGUGUUCCACAUAUCACACGCCAUGCACGCAUCAUCAAAUGACGAUUGAAGAGAUGUACUUACAGUUGAUAAUAGCCAUGAAGUCAGAAGCCUAUCUUGCUGCGUAAACACCUGUGCCGCCGGAUUUGGAGCACGAGAUCCAUCGGGCAGAGACACAAACCUCGAUGGCGGAACAACGGUGCCAUCUAAAAAUCCUGUAAGUCCAUAUCCAUCCACUAUUAAUUUGAUCUGUUUGCGCCACUGAAUAUAGGUUCCUUCAUCGAGCUUAACCACUUCAUGCCGAGGAAGACCAGUCGUGACACGAUCGCCAGAGAACACACCAGAGCUAGACUCACCAGUUGCAAAAUCAGCGGAAGCCAUGAUAGACAAGAUCCAGAAUCAAAUGGCGAAUGAUACCAUGAAAGAACUUGAUAAAAGAUUGAAAAUAUAUCUAGCCAAACAGAAAGCAAUAGAGAGAACAGAGAAUAAACUUCUUUUCUUUGUAUUCAAAAUUGCUUGCUUCUGAAAUCUCAACGUACAGUAUUUAUAGACUUUGUUGACUAGUCUAAA
RNAcentral lists this long non-coding RNA (24581 nucleotides) under Gossypium barbadense (sea-island cotton). Its description in RNAcentral is "long non-coding RNA (GBAR_LNC014024)". Lineage: Eukaryota; Viridiplantae; Streptophyta; Magnoliopsida; Malvales; Malvaceae. The record is from RNAcentral.